This 593-nucleotide ribosomal RNA is filed under the name uncultured Pseudomonadota bacterium. Its description in RNAcentral is "bacterial SSU rRNA". It matches the Rfam family "Bacterial small subunit ribosomal RNA", at positions 74 to 666 of the family's 1533-position model. The record is from RNAcentral. Lineage: Bacteria; Pseudomonadati; Pseudomonadota.
UUGCUUCUUUGCUGACGAGUGGCGGACGGGUGAGUAAUGUCUGGGAAACUGCCUGAUGGAGGGGGAUAACUACUGGAAACGGUAGCUAAUACCGCAUAACGUCGCAAGACCAAAGAGGGGGACCUUCGGGCCUCUUGCCAUCGGAUGUGCCCAGAUGGGAUUAGCUAGUAGGUGGGUAACGGCUCACCUAGGCGACGAUCCCUAGCUGGUCUGAGAGGAUGACCAGCCACACUGGAACUGAGACACGGUCCAGACUCCUACGGGAGGCAGCAGUGGGGAAUAUUGCACAAUGGGCGCAAGCCUGAUGCAGCCAUGCCGCGUGUAUGAAGAAGGCCUUCGGGUUGUAAAGUACUUUCAGCGGGGAGGAAGGGAGUAAAGUUAAUACCUUUGCUCAUUGACGUUACCCGCAGAAGAAGCACCGGCUAACUCCGUGCCAGCAGCCGCGGUAAUACGGAGGGUGCAAGCGUUAAUCGGAAUUACUGGGCGUAAAGCGCACGCAGGCGGUUUGUUAAGUCAGAUGUGAAAUCCCCCGGGCUCAACCUGGGAACUGCAUCUGAUACUGGCAAGCUUGAGUCUCGUAGAGGGGGGUAGAA